Molecule: non-coding RNA, 115 nt
Organism: Triticum aestivum (bread wheat)
Lineage: Eukaryota; Viridiplantae; Streptophyta; Magnoliopsida; Poales; Poaceae
Source: Rfam
AAUAUACUCCCUCCGUUCCGAAUUACUCGUCGCAGAAAUGGAUGUAUCUAGAUGUAUUUUAGUUCUAGAUACAUCCAUUUCUGCGACGAGUAAUUUGGAACGGAGGGAGUAGUUU